This 401-nucleotide ribosomal RNA is filed under the name uncultured bacterium. Its description in RNAcentral is "bacterial SSU rRNA". It matches the Rfam family "Bacterial small subunit ribosomal RNA", at positions 356 to 773 of the family's 1533-position model. The record is from RNAcentral.
AGGGAAUUUUCCACAAUGGGCGAAAGCCUGAUGGAGCAAUACCGCGUGCAGGAUGACAGCCUUCGGGUCGUAAACUGCUUUUAUACGAGAAGAUUAUGACGGUAUCGUAUGAAUAAGCCUCGGCUAACUCCGUGCCAGCAGCCGCGGUCAGACGGAGGAGGCAAGCGUUAUCCGGAGUGACUGGGCGUAAAGAGAUGCGUAGGCGGUAUGUAAAGCGAACAGUGAAAUCUCAAAGCUCAACUUUGAGGCUACUGUUUGAACUUACAUACUAGAGCAUGAUAGGGGAAACUGGAAUUCCUAGUGUAGGAGUGAAAUCCGUAGAUAUUAGGAGGAACACCAAUGGCGAAGGCAGGUUUCUGGAUCAUUGCUGACGCUCAGGCUCGAAAGUGUGGGUAGCGAAC